CAAACGGUCCUUUUCAGGACCACCAAAAAUGUCUCGCAAAAGAGUU
Anopheles darlingi is the source of this 46-nucleotide non-coding RNA. The record is from Rfam. Lineage: Eukaryota; Metazoa; Arthropoda; Insecta; Diptera; Culicidae.